Molecule: ribosomal RNA, 253 nt
Filed under: uncultured bacterium
Lineage: Bacteria
Description: partial 16S ribosomal RNA
Rfam family: Bacterial small subunit ribosomal RNA
Source: RNAcentral
UACGAAGGGGGCUAGCGUUGUUCGGAUUUACUGGGCGUAAAGCGCACGUAGGCGGAUAUUUAAGUCAGGGGUGAAAUCCCGGGGCUCAACCCCGGAACUGCCUUUGAUACUGGGUAUCUCGAGUCCGAGAGAGGUGAGUGGAAUUCCGAGUGUAGAGGUGAAAUUCGUAGAUAUUAGGAAGAACACCAGUGGCGAAGGCGGCUCACUGGUCCGGUACUGACGCUGAGGUGCGAAAGCGUGGGGAGCAAACAGG